GCAGUAGCCGCGGUAAUACAGAGGGUGCGAGCGUUAAUCGGAUUUACUGGGCGUAAAGCGUGCGUAGGCGGCUUCUUAAGUCGGAUGUGAAAUCCCUGAGCUUAACUUAGGAAUUGCAUUCGAUACUGGGAAGCUAGAGUAUGGGAGAGGAUGGUAGAAUUCCAGGUGUAGCGGUGAAAUGCGUAGAGAUCUGGAGGAAUACCGAUGGCGAAGGCAGCCAUCUGGCCUAAUACUGACGCUGAGGUACGAAAGCAUGGGGAGCAAACAGGAUUAGAUACCCGCGUAGUCCCUGUCUCUUAUAA
Molecule: ribosomal RNA, 302 nt
Filed under: uncultured bacterium
Lineage: Bacteria
Description: partial 16S ribosomal RNA
Rfam family: Bacterial small subunit ribosomal RNA
Source: RNAcentral